AGAGUUUGAUCAUGGCUCAGAUUGAACGCUGGCGGCAUGCCUUACACAUGCAAGUCGAACGGUAACGCGGGGGCAACCCUGGCGACGAGUGGCGAACGGGUGAGUAAUACAUCGGAACAUAUCCAGUAGCGGGGGAUAACCUAUCGAAAGAUGGACUAAUACCGCAUACGAUCUACAGAUGAAAGCAGGGGACCGCAAGGCCUUGCACUAUUGGAGUGGCCGAUGUCGGAUUAGCUAGUUGGUGAGGUAAAGGCUUACCAAGGCGACGAUCCGUAGCUGGUCUGAGAGGACGAUCAGCCACACUGGAACUGAGACACGGUCCAGACUCCUACGGGAGGCAGCAGUGGGGAAUUUUGGACAAUGGGCGCAAGCCUGAUCCAGCCAUGCCGCGUGAGUGAAGAAGGCCUUCGGGUUGUAAAGCUCUUUCGGUGAAGACGAAACGGUUAGCGCUAAUAACGCUGACUAAUGACGGUACUCACAGAAGAAGCACCGGCUAACUACGUGCCAGCAGCCGCGGUAAUACGUAGGGUGCAGGCGUUAAUCGGAAUUACUGGGCGUGAAGCGUGCGCAGGCGGUUUGCUAAGACAGGUGUGAAAUCCCCGAGCUUAACUUGGGAAUUGCGCUUGUAACUGGCAAGCUAGAGUGUGGCAGAGGGGGGUGGAAUUCCACGUGUAGCAGUGAAAUGCGUAGAUAUGUGGAGGAACACCGAUGGCGAAGGCAGCCCCCUGGGUUAACACUGACGCUCAUGCACGAAAGCGUGGGGAGCAAACAGGAUUAGAUACCCUGGUAGUCCACGCCCUAAACUACGUCAACUAGUUGUCGGGGAAGAAAUUCCUUGGUAACGAAGCUAACGCGUGAAGUUGACCGCCUGGGGAGUACGGCCGCAAGGUUAAAACUCAAAGGAAUUGACGGGGACCCGCACAAGCGGUGGAUUAUGUGGAUUAAUUCGAUGCAACGCGAAAAACCUUACCUACCCUUGACAUGCUAGGAAGCCCGCAGAGAUGUGGGUGUGCCCGAAAGGGAACCUAGACACAGGUGCUGCAUGGCUGUCGUCAGCUCGUGUCGUGAGAUGUUGGGUUAAGUCCCGCAACGAGCGCAACCCUUGCCAUUAGUUGCUACAUUCAGUUGGGCACUCUAAUGGGACCGCCGGUGACAAACCGGAGGAAGUGGGGAUGACGUCAAGUCCUCAUGGCCCUUAUGGGUAGGGCUUCACACGUAAUACAAUGGUCGGUACAGAGGGCUGCCAACCCGCAAGGGGGAGCUAAUCCCAGAAAGCCGAUCGUAGUCCGGAUUGUAGUCUGCAACUCGACUGCAUGAAGCCGGAAUCGCUAGUAAUCGCGGAUCAGCAUGUCGCGGUGAAUACGUUCCCGGGUCUUGUACACACCGCCCGUCACACCAUGGGAGUGGGUUCCACCAGAAGUAGUUAGCCUAACCGCAAGGAGGGCGAUUACCACGGUGAGAUUCAUGACUGGGGUGAAGUCGUAACAAGGUA
Molecule: ribosomal RNA, 1492 nt
Filed under: metagenome
Description: bacterial SSU rRNA
Rfam family: Bacterial small subunit ribosomal RNA
Source: RNAcentral